Molecule: ribosomal RNA, 1227 nt
Filed under: Triticum aestivum (bread wheat)
Lineage: Eukaryota; Viridiplantae; Streptophyta; Magnoliopsida; Poales; Poaceae
Description: partial small subunit ribosomal RNA
Source: RNAcentral
AUGGUGUCUGACUUUUUCUUCCCAAACUUUGGCGGUGUGGAAAGCCACAUCUAUUAUCUAUCGCAGUGCCUCCUUAAGCUUGGCCAUAAGGUUGUUGUCAUGACACAUGCAUAUGGAAAACGUUCUGGAGUACGAUAUGUUACUGGCGGCUUGAAGGUUUAUUAUGUGCCAUGGAGGCCAUUCCUGAUGCAGAAUACACUACCUACAUUGUUCAUGACAUUUCCAAUUAUAAGGACCAUUCUUAUUCGUGAGAAGAUAUCUGUUGUGCAUGGACAUCAGGCCUUCUCAACAACGUGCCAUGAAGCAUUGAUGCAUGCUAGGACUAUGGGGUACAAAGUUGUCUUCACGGACCACUCGCUUUAUGGUUUUGCUGAUGUUGGAAGCAUUCACAUGAAUAAGGUGCUGCAGUUUACUCUUGCAGAUAUUGAUCAGGCCAUAUGUGUAUCUCACACAAGCAAAGAGAACACUGUAUUGAGGUCAGGGAUAUCUCCAGAGAAGGUUUUCAUGGUUCCUAAUGCAGUGGAUACUGCAAUGUUUACUCCCUCCUCGACCCGCUUAAGCUGUGAUGAAAUCAUUAUUGUUGUGAUAAGUAGAUUAGUAUAUCGAAAAGGUGCUGACCUUCUUGUUGAAGUCAUUCCAGAAGUAUGCCGUCUAUUUCCAAAGAUGUUAGGGGCUGUACCUCAUGCUCAAGUACGAUCUGUUCUCAUAUCUGGUCAUAUAUUUCUUAACAGUUCGCUUACAGAAGCAUUUUGCAUAGCCAUUCUGGAAGCAGCAAGCUGCGGGCUGUUGACAGUAAGCACUAGAGUCGGAGGGGUCCCAGAGGUUCUACCAGAUGACAUGAUAGUGCUCGCAGAACCAGAUCCAGAAGAUAUGGUACGAGCUGUCAGGCAAGCUAUCGACAUACUUCCUGGUAUAGAUCCCCAAAUUAUGCAUCGCCGGAUGAAAAAACUCUAUAGUUGGGAUGAUGUGGCCAAAAGAACAGAGAUUGUCUAUGAUCGUGCAAUGCAGUCAUCAAACACUAAUUUGCUAGAUCGUCUUCCCCGAUACCUCACAUGUGGAGCUUGGGCAGGCAAACUGUUUUGCCUCGUUAUGAUCAUAAAUUACCUUGUGUGGUGCCUUCUAGAAUUCCUCCAGCCUGCUGAAGGUAUUGAAGAGGUCCCAGAUAUCGGGUCACUGCACAUUCGUUUGGAUUCGGCAGACGACCAGUGUGAAACGCAAGGAAAUUGA